CGGAUGUAGCCAAGUGGAUCAGGGCNGU
This 28-nucleotide transfer RNA is filed under the name Tachigali guianensis. RNAcentral's name for it is "partial tRNA-His". The record is from RNAcentral. RNAcentral also lists the same sequence under 3 other names. Lineage: Eukaryota; Viridiplantae; Streptophyta; Magnoliopsida; Fabales; Fabaceae.